Molecule: ribosomal RNA, 443 nt
Filed under: uncultured bacterium
Lineage: Bacteria
Description: partial 16S ribosomal RNA
Rfam family: Bacterial small subunit ribosomal RNA
Source: RNAcentral
CCUACGGGAGGCAGCAGUGGGGAAUAUUGGGCAAUGGGCGCAAGCCUGACCCAGCAACGCCGCGUGAAGGAAGAAGGCUUUCGGGUUGUAAACUUCUUUUCUCAGGGACGAAGCAAGUGACGGUCGCUGAGGAAUAAGCCUCGGCUAAAUACGUGCCAGCAGCCGCGGUAAUCCGUCGGUGGCAAGCGUUAUCCGGAUUUACUGGGUGUAAAGGGCGUGUAGGCGGGACUGCAAGUCAGAUGUGAAAACCACGGGCUCAACCUGUGGCCUGCAUUUGAAACUGUAGUUCGUGAGUACUGGAGAGGCAGACGGAAUGCCUAGUGUAGCGGUGAAAUGCGUAGAUAUUAGGAGGAACACCAGUGGCGAAGGCGGUCUGCUGGACAGCAACUGACGCUGAGGCGCGAAAGCGUGGGUAGCAAACAGGAUUAGAUACCCCUGUAGUC